AGCGGCGGACGGGUGAGUAACACGUGGGUAACCUGCCCAAGAGACUGGGAUAACACCUGGAAACAGAUGCUAAUACCGGAUAACAACACUAGACGCAUGUCUAGAGUUUGAAAGAUGGUUCUGCUAUCACUCUUGGAUGGACCUGCGGUGCAUUAGCUAGUUGGUAAGGUAACGGCUUACCAAGGCAAUGAUGCAUAGCCGAGUUGAGAGACUGAUCGGCCACAUUGGGACUGAGACACGGCCCAAACUCCUACGGGAGGCAGCAGUAGGGAAUCUUCCACAAUGGACGGAAGUCUGAUGGAGCAACGCCGCGUGAGUGAAGAAGGGUUUCGGCUCGUAAAGCUCUGUUGGUAGUGAAGAAAGAUAGAGGUAGUAACUGGCCUUUAUUUGACGGUAAUUACUUAGAAAGUCACGGCUAACUACGUGCCAGCAGCCGCGGUAAUACGUAGGUGGCAAGCGUUGUCCGGAUUUAUUGGGCGUAAAGCGAGUGCAGGCGGUUCAAUAAGUCUGAUGUGAAAGCCUUCGGCUCAACCGGAGAAUUGCAUCAGUAACUGUUGAACUUGAGUGCAGAAGAGGAGAGUGGAACUCCAUGUGUAGCGGUGGAAUGCGUAGAUAUAUGGAAGAACACCAGUGGCGAAGGCGGCUCUCUGGUCUGCAACUGACGCUGAGGCUCGAAAGCAUGGGUAGCGAACAGGAUUAGAUACCCUGGUAGUCCAUGCCGUAAACGAUGAGUGCUAAGUGU
RNAcentral lists this ribosomal RNA (742 nucleotides) under uncultured bacterium. Its description in RNAcentral is "bacterial SSU rRNA". It matches the Rfam family "Bacterial small subunit ribosomal RNA", at positions 94 to 823 of the family's 1533-position model. The record is from RNAcentral.